AUAACAGGUCUGUGAUGCCCUUAGAUGUCCUGGGCCGCACGCGCGUUACACCUGAUGCACUCAACGAGCAUAUAACCUUGGCCGAGAGGCCUGGGUAAUCUUGUUAACAUGCAUCGUGAUAGGGAUAGAUUAUUGCAAUUAUUAAUCUUGAACGAGGAAUUCCUAGUAAUCGUGGAUCAUCAAUCCACAAUGAUUACGUCCCUGCCCUUUGUACACACCGCCCGUCGCACCUACCGAUUGGAUGGUCCGGUGAGGAGUCGGGAUUGCGGCUUGGUUCCUUUAUUGGGAUCAGGCUGCGAGAACCUCUCCAAACCUUAUCAUCUAGAGGAAGGUGAAGUCGCAACAAGGUUUCCGUAGGUGAACCUGCAGAAGGAUCA
RNAcentral lists this ribosomal RNA (377 nucleotides) under uncultured marine eukaryote. RNAcentral's name for it is "SSU rRNA". It matches the Rfam family "Eukaryotic small subunit ribosomal RNA", at positions 1453 to 1828 of the family's 1831-position model. The record is from RNAcentral.